AGCGAACGCUGGCGGCAGGCCUAACACAUGCAAGUCGAACGGAUCCUUCGGGAUUAGUGGCGGACGGGUGAGUAACACGUGGGAACGUGCCCUUUGGUUCGGAACAACUCAGGGAAACUUGAGCUAAUACCGGAUGUGCCCUUCGGGGGAAAGAUUUAUCGCCAUUGGAGCGGCCCGCGUCUGAUUAGCUAGUUGGUGAGGUAACGGCCCACCAAGGCGACGAUCAGUAGCUGGUCUGAGAGGAUGAUCAGCCACACUGGGACUGAGACACGGCCCAGACUCCUACGGGAGGCAGCAGUGGGGAAUCUUGCGCAAUGGGCGAAAGCCUGACGCAGCCAUGCCGCGUGAAUGAUGCAGGUCUUAGGAUUGUAAAAUUCUUUCAGCGGGGACGAUAAUGACGGUACCCGCAGAAGAAGCUCCGGCUAACUUCGUG
Molecule: ribosomal RNA, 433 nt
Filed under: uncultured bacterium
Lineage: Bacteria
Description: partial 16S ribosomal RNA
Rfam family: Bacterial small subunit ribosomal RNA
Source: RNAcentral